Molecule: ribosomal RNA, 480 nt
Filed under: Flavobacterium sp. WB3.2-65
Lineage: Bacteria; Pseudomonadati; Bacteroidota; Flavobacteriia; Flavobacteriales; Flavobacteriaceae
Description: bacterial SSU rRNA
Rfam family: Bacterial small subunit ribosomal RNA
Source: RNAcentral
GAUCCUGGCUCAGGAUGAACGCUAGCGGCAGGCUUAACACAUGCAAGUCGAGGGGUAGAGUUCUUCGGAGCUUGAGACCGGCGCACGGGUGCGUAACGCGUAUGCAAUCUACCUUUUACAGAGGGAUAGCCCAGAGAAAUUUGGAUUAAUACCUCAUAGUAUAAUUGAAUGGCAUCAUUUAAUUAUUAAAGUCACAACGGUAAAAGAUGAGCAUGCGUCCCAUUAGCUAGUUGGUAAGGUAACGGCUUACCAAGGCUACGAUGGGUAGGGGUCCUGAGAGGGAGAUCCCCCACACUGGUACUGAGACACGGACCAGACUCCUACGGGAGGCAGCAGUGAGGAAUAUUGGACAAUGGGCGCAAGCCUGAUCCAGCCAUGCCGCGUGCAGGAUGACGGUCCUAUGGAUUGUAAACUGCUUUUGUACAGGAAGAAACACUGGUUCGUGAACCAGCUUGACGGUACUGUAAGAAUAAGGAUCGG